This is a long non-coding RNA of Panicum virgatum (switchgrass), 531 nucleotides long. RefSeq lists it as uncharacterized. Lineage: Eukaryota; Viridiplantae; Streptophyta; Magnoliopsida; Poales; Poaceae. The record is from RefSeq and is a predicted model, not a curated record. The transcript has 3 exons.
GCUGGGUUUAAUCUGGAACAGAUCAGUCAUCAAACAUCGAUCUACAUGAUUUCCUGUAACUGAGACGGUUCACCCCCUGCGGUUAUGCAGUUAUGCAAUCUCUGCUAGCUGGCAUAAUGUUUCCAAAAGCAAUCAAGGUUACUUAUACUAGAAAGGGCUAAACGAAACAAAACAGGGUCUAAAAUAAAUGGCGGGGGCACGGCUGCAAUGUACUAUGCUGCAUGCAGGGGCACCAGCAAGGCGGUUGGGCCUGCUGCAAGGCACUGUAGCUAUUCAGCCCAUCAAGGGAGUGCCAACGUAAGUGUUGCUGCUAUGGUUCAGCCAAUUCUAGCGUUUUUUCUUUUCCAGUUCUUUCUUCUUUUCUGUCGCAAAAAUAUUUCUUAAGAACAUAUUUAUUCAUCGAUUCAUGAAUCAAAUAAUUUAUCUUGAAAAUGUAGAUGAUGAGUCAUUCAAUUUUAUUUUCGCACUAUGGUGUUAUACCUAUGUACGUACAAUUUGCCUAUAUAUGACAUACCAUACUGUUGACAUGUA